Molecule: ribosomal RNA, 1347 nt
Filed under: uncultured bacterium
Lineage: Bacteria
Description: bacterial SSU rRNA
Rfam family: Bacterial small subunit ribosomal RNA
Source: RNAcentral
GACGAACGCUGGCGGCGUGCUUAACACAUGCAAGUCGAACGAUGAAGCCUAGCUUGCUAGGUGGAUUAGUGGCGAACGGGUGAGUAAUACGUGAGUAACCUACCUUUAACUCUGGGAUAAGCCUGGGAAACUGGGUCUAAUACCGGAUACGACCAAUCUCCGCAUGGGGUGUUGGUGGAAAGCGUUAUGUAGUGGUUAUAGAUGGGCUCACGGCCUAUCAGCUUGUUGGUGAGGUAACGGCUCACCAAGGCGACGACGGGUAGCCGGCCUGAGAGGGUGACCGGCCACACUGGGACUGAGACACGGCCCAGACUCCUACGGGAGGCAGCAGUGGGGAAUAUUGCACAAUGGGCGCAAGCCUGAUGCAGCGACGCCGCGUGAGGGAUGACGGCCUUCGGGUUGUAAACCUCUGUUAGCAGGGAAGAAGAGAGAUUGACGGUACCUGCAGAGAAAGCGCCGGCUAACUACGUGCCAGCAGCCGCGGUAAUACGUAGGGCGCGAGCGUUGUCCGGAAUUAUUGGGCGUAAAGAGCUUGUAGGCGGUUUGUCGCGUCUGCUGUGAAGGCCGGGGCUUAACUCCGUGUAUUGCAGUGGGUACGGGCAGACUAGAGUGCAGUAGGGGAGACUGGAAUUCCUGAUGUAGCGGUGGAAUGCGCAGAUAUCAGGAGGAACACCGAUGGCGAAGGCAGGUCUCUGGGCUGUAACUGACGCUGAGAAGCGAAAGCAUGGGGAGCGAACAGGAUUAGAUACCCUGGUAGUCCAUGCCGUAAACGUUGGGCACUAGGUGUGGGGGACAUUCCACGUUUUCCGCGCCGCAGCUAACGCAUUAAGUGCCCCGCCUGGGGAGUACGGCCGCAAGGCUAAAACUCAAAGAAAUUGACGGGGGCCCGCACAAGCGGCGGAGCAUGCGGAUUAAUUCGAUGCAACGCGAAGAACCUUACCAAGGCUUGACAUAUACUGGACCGCAUCAGAGAUGGUGUUUCCCUUCGGGGCUGGUAUACAGGUGGUGCAUGGUUGUCGUCAGCUCGUGUCGUGAGAUGUUGGGUUAAGUCCCGCAACGAGCGCAACCCUCGUUCUAUGUUGCCAGCACGUUAUGGUGGGGACUCAUAGGAGACUGCCGGGGUCAACUCGGAGGAAGGUGGGGAUGACGUCAAAUCAUCAUGCCCCUUAUGUCUUGGGCUUCACGCAUGCUACAAUGGCCGGUACAGAGGGUUGCGAUACUGUGAGGUGGAGCUAAUCCCUAAAAGCCGGUCUCAGUUCGGAUUGGGGUCUGCAACUCGACCCCAUGAAGUCGGAGUCGCUAGUAAUCGCAGAUCAGCAACGCUGCGGUGAAUACGUUCCCGGGCCU